This 84-nucleotide ribosomal RNA is filed under the name Escherichia coli. RNAcentral describes it as "partial 16S ribosomal RNA". It matches the Rfam family "Bacterial small subunit ribosomal RNA", at positions 1 to 82 of the family's 1533-position model. The record is from RNAcentral. RNAcentral also lists the same sequence under 3 other names. Lineage: Bacteria; Pseudomonadati; Pseudomonadota; Gammaproteobacteria; Enterobacterales; Enterobacteriaceae.
UUAAAUUGAAGAGUUUGAUCAUGGCUCAGAUUGAACGCUGGCGGCAGGCCUAACACAUGCAAGUCGAACGGUAACAGGAAACAG